UUUAGAGUUUGAUCCAUGGCUCAGAGCGAACGCUGGCGGCGUGCCUAACACAUGCAAGUCGAACGCUGACUUCGUUGUCGCAAGACAGCGGAGAAGGCGUGGCGAACGGGUGAGUAACGCGUGGACAACCUGCCCGCAAGUGGGGGAUAACUCCGGGAAACUGGAGCUAAUACCGCAUAACAUCCCUUGGUCGCAGGACCGAGGGAUCAAACCCGCAAGGGGCUGGCGGAGGGGUCCGCGUCCGAUCAGCUAGUUGGUGAGGUCAUGGCUCACCAAGGCAGAGACCGGUAGCCGAUCUGAGAGGGUGAUCGGCCACACUGGGACUGAGACACGGCCCAGACUCCUACGGGAGGCAGCAGUGGGGGAUGUUGCGCAAUGGGGGAAACCCUGACGCAGCGACGCCGCGUGGAGGACGAAGCCCUUCGGGGUGUAAACUCCUUUCGACGGGGACGAACGCCCGCAAGGGCCCGACAGACCCUAGAAGAGCCCCGCAA
Molecule: ribosomal RNA, 494 nt
Filed under: uncultured bacterium
Lineage: Bacteria
Description: bacterial SSU rRNA
Rfam family: Bacterial small subunit ribosomal RNA
Source: RNAcentral